CCUCUCAUUAGAUCGUACCCUAAACCGACACAGGUGGACUGGUAGAGAAUACCAAGGCGCUUGAGAGAACGAUGUUGAAGGAACUCGGCAAAAUACCUCCGUAAGUUCGCGAGAAGGAGGCCCAGUUUCUACGCAAGUAUUGGCUGGGGGCACAAACCAGGGGGUGGCGACUGUUUACUAAAAACACAGGGCUCUGCGAAGUCGCAAGACGACGUAUAGGGUCUGACGCCUGCCCGGUGCCUGAAGGUUAAAAGGAGGAGUGCAAGCUCUGAAUUGAAGCCCAGGUAAACGGCGGCCGUAACUAUAACGGUCCUAAGGUAGCGAAAUUCCUUGUCGGGUAAGUUCCGACCUGCACGAAUGGCGUAACGACUUCCCCGCUGUCUCCAACAUCGACUCAGCGAAAUUGAAUUACCUGUCAAGAUGCAGGUUACCCGCGGUUAGACGGAAAGACCCCGUGCACCUUUACUACAGCUUCAGACUGAUAUCAGGUCAAGCAUGUGCAGGAUAGGUGGUAGGCUUUGAAGCAUGGACGCCAGUCUGUGUGGAGCCUCCCUUGAGAUACCACCCUUGCUUCGCUUGAUAUCUAACCGCGGUCCGUUAUCCGGAUCCGGGACCCUCUGUGGCGGGUAGUUUGACUGGGGCGGUCGCCUCCUAAAGAGUAACGGAGGCGCGCGAAGGUUGGCUCAGAUCGGUCGGACAUCGAUCGUUGAGUGCAAUGGCAGAAGCCAGCCUGACUGCGAGACUGACAAGUCGAGCAGAGUCGAAAGACGGCCAUAGUGAUCCGGUGGUCCCAAGUGGGAGGGCCAUCGCUCAACGGAUAAAAGGUACGCCGGGGAUAACAGGCUGAUACUGCCCAAGAGUCCAUAUCGACGGCAGUGUUUGGCACCUCGAUGUCGGCUCAUCUCAUCCUGGGGCUGGAGCAGGUCCCAAGGGUACGGCUGUUCGCCGUUUAAAGAGGUACGUGAGCUGGGUUUAGAACGUCGUGAGACAGUUCGGUCCCUAUCUUCCGUGGGUGUAGGAUAUUUGAGAAGAGUUGCCCCUAGUACGAGAGGACCGGGGUGAACGAUCCACUGGUGGACCAGUUGUUAUGCCAAUAGCAGUGCUGGGUAGCUAUGAUCGGACAGGAUAACCGCUGAAGGCAUCUAAGCGGGAAGCCCCCUUCAAAACAAGAUAUCCCUGAGGGCCGUGGUAGACCACCACGUCGAUAGGCCAGAGAUGUAAGCGCAGCAAUGCGUUCAGUUGACUGGUACUAAUUGCCCGAUAGGCUUGAU
This 1271-nucleotide ribosomal RNA is filed under the name Jannaschia donghaensis. RNAcentral's name for it is "bacterial LSU rRNA". It matches the Rfam family "Bacterial large subunit ribosomal RNA", at positions 1630 to 2925 of the family's 2925-position model. The record is from RNAcentral. Lineage: Bacteria; Pseudomonadati; Pseudomonadota; Alphaproteobacteria; Rhodobacterales; Roseobacteraceae.